Molecule: long non-coding RNA, 690 nt
Organism: Myxocyprinus asiaticus (Chinese sucker)
Lineage: Eukaryota; Metazoa; Chordata; Actinopteri; Cypriniformes; Catostomidae
Exons: 2
Source: RefSeq, a predicted model, not a curated record
AAGUGCUUCAUUCGUAGUAACUACAGCGACGAGGAGUCAUCACAUCAGCAUUAUUCUCUAAAUUAUAUUAUACUUCUUUUCAGAAAUGGAAUCAAAAGUUGGAAAAAGUUAACAAAAAAGUAAACUUAUAAACAAAUUGGCUAUCAACUGCCUUUUUGGCCGCCAAUUUUGUUCUUCAGCUCAACCGCCGUAGAUUCGGGAGCACAGGAUUGUGGGAUUUCAUAGACAGUGAAGGAUACAUCUAUGCUGCCUUCAAAAAUCAAUCAGAUGAAAGCGUCUCAGUAGACAGGAUGUGACGCAAACAUUGGAUUCGGACAUGCUGUGAUCCCUUCCUACCUCCGUAUACAGCCUCUGGAGGCAGCAUUUUCCUGAUUUCAGACGCAACCACACAGUUCAGGACAGCAAUCUGGAUGGAUGUUUAACUGUUAUCCGUUUUUCGAGGUUGUUUACCUGCUAUAACGCUUGGAUAUGUUUUCUGGUAGGGUUGUUGAAGCUAAUAUUGCUUGUCAUGCUUGUAUGAAUCAAACAUUACUUGUGGGUUAAACGACUGCGAUGUAUCUACGUUGUCGGGGGAAGUUACUGUGGCAUGUUUACUAAUAUUUAUGACUUCUGAAAUUGUCUUCUUGUAACUGUUAUAUAGCAUUUUAAAGCAUAUAAUUUUCAUGUUUAAUAAAGUAUAUUUUAUCCCCA